This 228-nucleotide long non-coding RNA is filed under the name Oryza brachyantha (malo sina). Its description in RNAcentral is "long non-coding RNA (OBRA_LNC000487)". Lineage: Eukaryota; Viridiplantae; Streptophyta; Magnoliopsida; Poales; Poaceae. The record is from RNAcentral.
UAAAACUGAGAAAUUGACUCGGAAAGAAUUUUUUUGGAAGCUCCAUUGCGAGAUUCAAACCUAACCAUUAAAGGAGAAGCAGUGGGAACGACAGAACCUAUGACUGGAUAGGAUUUUCUUGAAAAGAAUCCCAAUACUUCAUUGGUGGGAUGGCGGAACAAACCAAAAAAAUUGCCUUAUUUGGUAAUUCAUAACCUUAUCAAAUAAGACAGGAAAGAGUAAAUAUUA